Molecule: transfer RNA, 65 nt
Filed under: Sceloporus cautus
Lineage: Eukaryota; Metazoa; Chordata; Lepidosauria; Squamata; Phrynosomatidae
Description: tRNA-Cys
Source: RNAcentral
AGCCUCGAGGUGUUUACACAUCAAAAUGCAAGUUUGAAGUAGGGCCCAAUUGAGCCCCGGGGCUU